UUGCCAGCCCGCUCAGAAACUCAAAGGAAGUUGACGGGGCCCGCACAAGCGGAGGAGCAUGUGGUUUAAUUCGAUGAUACGCGAGGAACCUUACCUGGGCUCGAACGUAAGAUGACUGUAGGUGAAAGCUUACAUCUCUUCGGAGCAUUUUACGAGGUGCUGCAUGGUUGUCGUCAGCUCGUGCCGUGAGGUGUCGGGUUAAGUCCCAUAACGAGCGCAACCCCUACCUUUAGUUGCCAUCAGGUAAUGCUGGGGACUCUAAAGGAACUGCCUACGCAAGUAGUGAGGAAGGCGGGGAUGACGUCAAAUCAGCACGGCCCUUACGUCCAGGGCUACACACGUGCUACAAUGGCCGAUACAGAGGGCAGCUACCUGGUGACAGGAUGCAAAUCUCCAAAGUCGGUCUCAGUUCGGAUCGGAGUCUGCAACCCGACUCCGUGAAGUUGGAUUCGCUAGUAAUCGCGCAUCAGCCAUGGCGCGGUGAAUACGUUCCCGGGCCUU
RNAcentral lists this ribosomal RNA (501 nucleotides) under uncultured Sphingobacteriales bacterium. RNAcentral describes it as "bacterial SSU rRNA". It matches the Rfam family "Bacterial small subunit ribosomal RNA", at positions 880 to 1382 of the family's 1533-position model. The record is from RNAcentral. Lineage: Bacteria; Pseudomonadati; Bacteroidota; Sphingobacteriia; Sphingobacteriales.